This is a non-coding RNA of Mycena epipterygia, 92 nucleotides long. NCBI's taxonomy places the organism in Eukaryota, Fungi, Basidiomycota, Agaricomycetes, Agaricales, Mycenaceae. The record is from the annotation of a GenBank genome assembly.
GCGCUGUUGGUGUAGAGGUAACACACAAUCUGACUUUAGUAGAAAAGAGAAAGAUUGAGGUUGAGUUCUGGGUUCGAAUCCCAGACGGCGCA